GCCGGGUGUGGUGGUGCGCGCCUGUAGUCCCAGCUACUCAGGAGGCUGAGGUGGGACAAUCACUUGAGCCUGGGAGGUCUAGGCUGCAGUGAGCCGAGAUCAUGCCACUGCAUUCCAGCCUAAGCAACACAACGAGACCCUGUCUCAC
Non-coding RNA from Pan troglodytes (chimpanzee), 148 nucleotides. It matches the Rfam family "Metazoan signal recognition particle RNA". From Rfam's summary of the family: The signal recognition particle (SRP) is a universally conserved ribonucleoprotein. It is involved in the co-translational targeting of proteins to membranes. Lineage: Eukaryota; Metazoa; Chordata; Mammalia; Primates; Hominidae. The record is from Rfam.